Non-coding RNA from Nicotiana tabacum (common tobacco), 2092 nucleotides. The record is from RefSeq and is a predicted model, not a curated record. NCBI's taxonomy places the organism in Eukaryota, Viridiplantae, Streptophyta, Magnoliopsida, Solanales, Solanaceae.
UUUUUUUAUUAGCACUCACAAACAAAAGAAAUAAAUUGAAUUCAUAUACACUGAAAAUCUAAAAAGUUUUAUGCUAUUAGUGUAUUGUAACAUGUUAGUAGUAGAUAAUAUGUCUUAUUUUUCAGGUUACUGUUUUCUCUCUUUAUAGAUGGUUUGUAUACAUACAAAAACAGACGCACAAUAUGGGUCGAGGGAUCACCGGCACCCGGAAACUUCGAUGAAAACUUCAUCUAUACUAGUUAAUGUCUUAAAAAAAUAGUCAGAUAUUAGCAAAUGCCCCGUACCAAUCUUUAUGAACAGUGAUAAAUUUAUAUCAACUGUCAUGGUGCCAGCGACCACCGAAUCUUGGGUCCUAUAUAUAGUUACAUUUUAGGUGAUUUAUAGUAUAAAAAAUUCUUUUACAUAAUCAUUGUAUAGAUGUUAAAACACACAAAAAUAUGGAACUAAUUAAAUAGUGUCUUUUCUACAAAAGCAAGAAAUUUUACAGAGCUUUACACCAAGAGGGUGCAAUGCAAAAACAUGUGCAAUUUAAAUAGUGUCUUAAUCUUAAAUGGAACUUGCAGCAAGCAAUAUACGUGUGAUAUAUUAGAUAGUUCUCCCGUUAAUGUCUUGAUAAGAAUAUAAGGUUUUAAAAGACCUGAUUGAGAUCUAUGGGAUAAAGAUUGUCCAUUCUUAUGCAAAUCAUUCGAAAGUCAUCCAUUUUUUCGAUUUGUUGUUUUGCACGUGGUAACUAGAGUGGAAUUGUUAAGAAGAUCCAAAAAACUUAAAUUGGUCAAGUGACCGCCUAUUUCCUUUCUUAAUUUCUUUUUGGGUUAAAAAAUAACUAAAUCAGUGGGUUAAGGUGGUUGGGCACUUUUAAACAUUUUGCAAAACUUGUGGGUCACCUAUAAAGUUUGAAAAACAAGCUUUCUUUCUAAUUUUUCCGCCAUUUUCUCUUUCAUCUCUCUACUCUCUCUUCUCUCUCACUCAAUCCCCUCGACCACGAUGGUUUCUGGCGGGAAGGGACAAGAAUCAAGCUUUGAUUUUGGGUGGAAUCGUCUCUAUAGACCUAACAAGCACUAUAUUAUUAUUCAGAACGUGUCAAUUUUGGUAACAUGAGGAAGAAAUCAAUUGCUAAGAAGCAUAUUCCUUUAGCAUGUGCACUACAUGGGAUAAGAUCAAUGAGGCUGCCAGUAAAGAGGAAAAGGAUUUGGACUUUUGUGAGACAGUUGAUGCUUGCCAAGACUUGUGCCUUACACCCCUAAUGCAAUAUCCUCAAAGAAGUAUGCCAUAACCUGGGGUUGUGGAGUGGUGCAAGGCUAAGAUGUUGUAUAGUGUAUGGCAAAUUGAUAAAAAGUAUUUUGUGCCUGUUGUUUUUCACUUGGCAGAGGUUUUGAUUCGAAUUUACAAUAGCAAUGUCAGUUUGUAUGAUGAUGGUAAACUAGAAGAACUUUCCCCUCACACUCAUGAUGCCUAGUAUUUUGAUAAAAACUGGCCAGUUUACAGACUUAGGCCAAGAUGUGCUUACGAAGAAAUAGUCCCGGGAGCAUAUUAUGGAUGUGUCAUCCAUUCAGCAUACGUAAACUAAUGUGUCAUCCAUUAUGUUUUACUCAUUCUUGUGGUUUCUUUAAUAAUUAAUUAUGUCUUUGAUUAUUAUAGUGAAAGUAGUGGAGCAUAUGUAGUGAAGGUUAUUGACUUCCUCCUAACUGAUAUGUCGCUAGUGUAGCUUAAUGACAAGCGAAUGGAGUUGUUUAGGAAAAAAAUUGCAGUGGAUAUCUUCAGGGGAAGGAUAAACCCUUCUUAGUUUUAUUAGUGUAAUUUAUGUUUGUGUUGGUCAUGGGACAAAUUUAUUUUGGACAAACUUGUAGUAAUUUGUGAUAUUUGCAUCUACCUCUAUGUAAUGAAAUUAUCUUUUUCCGAUUAACGAUUGAUGUUGUACUAAUAGACAAUGUAUCUAGUAAUAAACUAGCUAGUAGCUACUUGGUUCCGUAAUAGAUAUUGAGUCCAUCAAUAAGCUUGCUACUUGGUUGCGUAAUAGACUCAAAGUCGCGUGUAAUAACUUCAUCAAAUAUUACAUUACAUCAGUACAAUAUUACAUGAUCCAAAAGACUUC